UACGUAGGGUGCAAGCGUUGUCCGGAAUUAUUGGGCGUAAAGAGCUCGUAGGCGGUUUGUCGCGUCUGCUGUGAAAACUCGGGGCUUAACCCCGGGCCUGCAGUGGGUACGGGCAGACUAGAGUGUGGUAGGGGAGACUGGAAUUCCUGGUGUAGCGGUGAAAUGCGCAGAUAUCAGGAGGAACACCGAUGGCGAAGGCAGGUCUCUGGGCCACUACUGACGCUGAGAAGCGAAAGCAUGGGGAACGAACAGG
RNAcentral lists this ribosomal RNA (253 nucleotides) under uncultured bacterium. RNAcentral describes it as "partial 16S ribosomal RNA". It matches the Rfam family "Bacterial small subunit ribosomal RNA", at positions 524 to 776 of the family's 1533-position model. The record is from RNAcentral.